AGUGAACGCUGGCGGUAGGCCUAACACAUGCAAGUCGAACGGCAGCACAGUAAGAGCUUGCUCUUACGGGUGGCGAGUGGCGGACGGGUGAGGAAUACAUCGGAAUCUACUUUUUCGUGGGGGAUAACGUAGGGAAACUUACGCUAAUACCGCAUACGACGUACGGGUGAAAGCAGGGGAUCUUCGGACCUUGCGCGAUUGAAUGAGCCGAUGUCGGAUUAGCUAGUUGGCGGGGUAAAGGCCCACCAAGGCGACGAUCCGUAGCUGGUCUGAGAGGAUGAUCAGCCACACUGGAACUGAGACACGGUCCAGACGCCUACGGGAGGGAGCAGUGGGGAAUAUUGGACAAUGGGCGCAAGCCUGAUCCAGCCAGACCGCGUGGGUGAAGAAGGCCUUCGGGUUGUAAAGCCCUUUUGUUGGGAAAGAAAAGCAGCAGGUUAAUACCCCGCUGUUCUGACGGUACCCAAAGAAUAAGCACCGGCUAACUUCGUG
This 492-nucleotide ribosomal RNA is filed under the name uncultured bacterium. RNAcentral's name for it is "partial 16S ribosomal RNA". It matches the Rfam family "Bacterial small subunit ribosomal RNA", at positions 29 to 507 of the family's 1533-position model. The record is from RNAcentral.